CACAGCCUGUUGGAGCAAGGCCUGAGGGCCUGCCUGGAGCCUGACUGCCAUCGAACUUCAUCACAGGGAGACAUUAUUAAUACGAAUGAUAAUCUGACAACCUGACAUUUUAGUUAAGAUCAACAAGAAGGUUAAAGAAUCAGCUUUAAAGCCCUCUGUAACAUGAUAAACAUUUCUAUCGGCAUGUAACCAGCACAUAACAUCACUGCUAUAAUUUUCUCCUCUAAUGAUGGUUAUGUCGGAGAGCGCUCAUUGAUGCCCGCGGGCCGAUUGUGUAAAUGAAACAGAAAACAUACAAAUUGCAUUGUCAAUUCAAAUUUAAGCAGGUAAUGCAGCCCAUUCAUUGCAUUGGCCCGCGGUAGCUACCUCUAGUUAUCUGUGACAGAAGGACACGUCGUCGGCCUGCUGGAGGGAAAAAAAAGCGACAGGCAGCAGCAGCGCCUCGAGUAGGCUACACCAGAAAGGAGACGCGCUACGACAUGACAAAUUCAUCGUCUCUGCCUGAUAAAUCACUGGGCUGUUUUAAUUUUCGUAGGAAAGAGGCCGUGUCGAAGGCCAGUUGCUGUUCUAAUUAAACUGAGACAACUCAGAAUUAGCGUGCUCGUCACCGGCGGUCUCCGCGGCGGCUGUCAUCGCCCGCAUCGCGCAUCUUCAGACUAUUUGAAAAUCAAUUAUCUCAACAAACCAGCUGUAAGGAAGUCGAUGGGUAGAUGACAGGCCAGGGAUGAGCUUCAAACAGUGGCAUGUAUAUGUGUAUGUAUGUAACAGGCCUGUGGAGUGUUUGUGUGUCAAGGACGUUAGCGGGGUGGACAGCUGAUGGACACCAGCGUGGAGGAGAUGUGAUAAAGUAAGAAAGUCGCACAGGUUUGGAAAGACAUUAGGGAGCGUGUGUGGAACUUUUUCCUGAUGUGAUACAGAGGGACUGGUGAGGAUUUCAUCUCGCUUUUACUGAUCUCCAAAGGGGACUGUAGAGGAGUGAGCCGGGGUGAUGGAAGAGUUAACAGGGUUAAGGAGUGGAGAGCUAUAGUAUAUCCUCAUCCAUCAGUGAGGCUGAUAAUCACAACACAGGAUAGAGAAUGAAGACGGGACAUCUGUACAUUAGAAUGAAAUUAAUCACACAUAUGAGUUUUUUUUUUUUUUGUGGAAUCAUGGGAAUUCAAGCAUUAUAAUCACUUGAUUUUCCCAACACAGCUCACCUACCAAUAAACAAAAUUGAUGAGCGAUGGUUUAAAUUAAUCUCUGAACGAUAUUGUGUGAUGCAAAUAGAGAG
Cyprinus carpio carpio is the source of this 1270-nucleotide long non-coding RNA. Lineage: Eukaryota; Metazoa; Chordata; Actinopteri; Cypriniformes; Cyprinidae. The record is from Ensembl.